This 805-nucleotide ribosomal RNA is filed under the name uncultured bacterium. RNAcentral describes it as "bacterial SSU rRNA". It matches the Rfam family "Bacterial small subunit ribosomal RNA", at positions 8 to 796 of the family's 1533-position model. The record is from RNAcentral.
AGAGUUGAUCCUGGCUCAGGACGAACGCUGGCGGCGUGCCUAAUACAUGCAAGUAGAACGCUGAAGACUUUAGCUUGCUAGAGUUGGAAGAGUUGCGAACGGGUGAGUAACGCGUAGGUAACCUGCCUAUUAGCGGGGGAUAACUAUUGGAAACGAUAGCUAAUACCGCAUAACAGUAUUUAACACAUGUUAGAUGCUUGGAAGAUGCAAAUGCAUCACUAGUAGAUGGACCUGCGUUGUAUUAGCUAGUUGGUGGGGUAACGGCCUACCAAGGCGACGAUACAUAGCCGACCUGAGAGGGUGAUCGGCCACACUGGGACUGAGACACGGCCCAGACUCCUACGGGAGGCAGCAGUAGGGAAUCUUCGGCAAUGGGGGCAACCCUGACCGAGCAACGCCGCGUGAGUGAAGAAGGCUUUCGGAUCGUAAAGCUCUGUUGUAAGAGAAGAACGUGUGUGAGAGUGGAAAGUUCACACAGUGACGGUAACUUACCAGAAAGGGACGGCUAACUACGUGCCAGCAGCCGCGGUAAUACGUAGGUCCCGAGCGUUGUCCGGAUUUAUUGGGCGUAAAGCGAGCGCAGACGGUUAUUUAAGUCUGAAGUGAAAGCCCUCAGCUCAACUGAGGAAUUGCUUUGGAAACUGGAUGACUUGAGUGCAGUAGAGGAAAGUGGAACUCCAUGUGUAGCGGUGAAAUGCGUAGAUAUAUGGAAGAACACCAGUGGCGAAGGCGGCUUUCUGGACUGUAACUGGCGUUGAGGCUCGAAAGUGUGGGUAGCAAACAGGAUUAGAUACCCUGGUAGUCC